This is a long non-coding RNA of Sander lucioperca (pikeperch), 771 nucleotides long. RefSeq lists it as uncharacterized. The record is from RefSeq and is a predicted model, not a curated record. The transcript is spliced from 3 exons. NCBI's taxonomy places the organism in Eukaryota, Metazoa, Chordata, Actinopteri, Perciformes, Percidae.
UCUGUAGUUGUUGAUUGGGUGGUAGUCGGUUCUGUAGUUGUUGAUUGGGUGGUAGUCGGUUGGGUGUUGUUGAUUGGGUGGUACUCGGUUGGGUGGUAGUCGGUUCUGUAGUUGUUGAUUGGGUGGUAGUCGGUUGGGUGGUAGUCGGUUCUGUAGUUGUUGAUUGGGUGGUAGUCGGUUUUGUAGUUGUUGAUUGGGUGGUAGUCGGUUCUGUAGUUGUUGAUUGGGUGGUACUCGGUUGGGUGGUAGUCGGUUCUGUAGUUGUUGAUUGGGUGGUAGUCGGUUUUGUAUUGUUGAUUGGGUGGUAGUCGUUUGGGUGGUAGUCAGUUGGGUGGUAGUCGGUUCUGUAGUUGUUGAUUGGGUGGUAGUCAGUUCUGUAGUUGUUGAUUGGGUGGUAGUCAGUUCUGUAGUUGUUGAUUGGGUGGUAGUCAGUUCUGUAGUUGUUGAUUGGGUGGUAGUCGGUUCUGUAGUUGUUGAUUGGGUGGUAGUCAGUGCUGUAGUUGUUGAUUGGGUGGUAGUCGGUUCUGUUGUUGUUGAUUGGGUGGUAGUCAGUUCUGUAGUUGUUGAUUGGGUGGUAGUCGGUUCUGUAGUUGUUGAUUGGGUGGUAGUCAGUUCUGUAGUUGUUGAUUGGGUGGUAGUCAGUUCUGUAGUUGUUGAUUGGGUGGUAGUCGGUUCUGUAGUUGUUGAUUGGGUGGUAGUCAGUUCUGUAGUUGUUGAUUGGGUGGUAGUCAGUUCUGUAGUUGUUGAUUGGGUGGUAGUCGGUUCUGUAUU